Molecule: ribosomal RNA, 253 nt
Filed under: uncultured bacterium
Lineage: Bacteria
Description: partial 16S ribosomal RNA
Rfam family: Bacterial small subunit ribosomal RNA
Source: RNAcentral
GACAGAGGUGCCGAGCGUUAGGCGGAAUCACUGGGCUUAAAGCGUGUGUAGGCGGGUCGUUAAGUGUCUUGUGAAAUCCCACCGCUCAACGGUGGAACCGCUGGGCAUACUGGCGAUCUUGAGCAGUCCAGGGGCGAGCGGAACAAGCGGUGGAGCGGUGAAAUGCGUAGAUAUCGAGAGGAACACCGGUGGCGAAGGCGGCCUUCUGGACAGUGACUGACGCUGAGACGCGAAAGCGUGGGGAGCAAACAGG